Molecule: ribosomal RNA, 465 nt
Filed under: uncultured bacterium
Lineage: Bacteria
Description: partial 16S ribosomal RNA
Rfam family: Bacterial small subunit ribosomal RNA
Source: RNAcentral
CCUACGGGCGGCAGCAGUGGGGAAUUUUGCGCAAUGCUCGUAAGAGUGACGCAGCGACGCCGCGUGAAUGACGAAGGCCUUCGGUUCGUAAAGUUCUUUCGACAGGGAAGAAAAUGCCUAUAAGUAACUGUGUAUGUAUUGACGGUACCUGUAUAAGCAGCCCCGGCUAACUCCGUGCCAGCCGCCGCUGUAAUACGGAGGGGGCGAGCGUUGUUCGGAGUGACUGGGCGUAAAGAGCACGUAGGCGGUGUUGUAAGUCAUUAGUCAAAGAGUAGAGCUCAAAUUUAGUACGGCUAGUGAUACUAUAAUACUAGAGUAUCAGAGAGGAUUGCAGAAUUCCUGGUGUAGCGGUGAAAUGCGUAGAUAUCAGGAGGAAUACCGUUAGCGAAGGCGGCAAUCUGGCUGGAAACUGACGCUGAGGUGCGAAAGCGUGGGGAGCAAACAGGAUUAGAUACCCUAGUAGUC